Molecule: long non-coding RNA, 1044 nt
Organism: Cyprinus carpio (common carp)
Lineage: Eukaryota; Metazoa; Chordata; Actinopteri; Cypriniformes; Cyprinidae
Source: Ensembl
AUGGGUCCCAUGGGGCCAGAAGGUCCAAAAGGUGAUGCUGGAGUCCCAGGGGCCCCUGGCAUUCCAGGAUACUCCUAUGGUGGAGGAUCCAGAAGCGCUCCGGGACCACCAGGUCCACCUGGACCCCCAGGGCCUCCCGGAGCACCUGGUUCAUCAGGAGGCGGCUCACCAGAUGUUGUUCAACAGAUUUCAGACUACCUUAGAAGUGAACCCAUCAGAGAAUACCUGACUGGACCUCCAGGCCCACCUGGACCACCAGGAUCUCCCGGAUCAGGCUCUGAAGAUUCAUUAGCCAACCGUGUCAUUGAAUACCUUCAAAGAGAUGAGGUGAGGCAGUACCUGAUUGGUCCUCCAGGGCCCCCAGGACCCCCAGGUGGGCCAGGUGGAUAUGGCUUUAACACUCAGGAAGUUGCUGGACGAGUGCUGAGUCUGUUGAAUGAUGCUGGUUUAACAGGUCUGCCAGGACCUCCCGGUCCCCCAGGACCUCAAGGACCACCAGGAGGCUCUGGAGGAAUAGUGUCUUACGCUGUUAACGAAAACCAACCACAAAUCCGUGCAGAGCCUCAGGAGUAUAUCAAAAGCCACCCAAGCUCUGAUGAGAAUUUGGAUUACGCAGCCAUCGCUAAAAAGGUUUCAGAUUACAUUUUGUCUAAUGGCCUGUUACAAGGUCAAGGUUUGAUAGGGAUUCCAGGAGCACGAGGUCCACGAGGUCCAGCAGGUCCACCAGGUGUACCAGGCAUUGGAUUCCCUGGACCCCCUGGACCUCCGGGAAUCAGUCCAGAACUUCCUUACUCCAACAUGACUGCAAUCAUAGACUACAUUAGAGACCACCGUAUGAUUGGACCACCAGGUAUACCAGGGCAGAAAGGGGAUCAGGGAAAUCCUGGAUUCCCAGGACCAAAAGGUGACAGAGGAUUCACAGGUAUACAAGGCAUCCCAGGCCCCAGUGGCGUCCCAGGAAUCCCAGGAAUGAAAGGAGAGAAGGGAGAGAAGGGUGAGGCCUCAUAUGUCACUCGUCGUCGUCGUCGGAGCACAGUCAUUUAG